Molecule: RNA transcript, 6732 nt
Organism: Seriola aureovittata
Lineage: Eukaryota; Metazoa; Chordata; Actinopteri; Carangiformes; Carangidae
Gene name: trafficking regulator of GLUT4 1
Exons: 6
Source: RefSeq, a predicted model, not a curated record
UCCAGAAUCGUGUAUCAGAAUUUUCUUUUUUUUUCAUCCCUCAGUUCCACUGCUCCGUCUCACAUCACUGGAUUUUACCUCCUGUAUCUUCUGCAGAGUCAAAAUGACCAUCAGCCUGCAGCUUCCCGUGGACUAGGACCAGAGUGAGCCCUGCCGUCAGCUUUUCUUCAACACUUCGCUUUGCCUUCACCGUCCGAUGGCCACCAGUCCCAGCGCCCCCCAGCCAUCCAGCAGCAUGGAGGAGACACAGCAGCCCGAGCAGCCAAUCAGCACGCAGCCGGAAGCCACAGAAGCCGACCACGCCACCGUGACUUCUCAACCGGCCAGCGCUGAGCAGGAAGCCCCCUCCUCGACGACAGACGCUCCCGAGGCCAAACAAUCACCUGAGCACCUGACGGUGAUCAGCGAAAACAUGGAGACCAGUAACGGUAUCGGUCCGGUGAUGGUCGACUCCUCUCCCACAGCGCCCUCUGUGUCGCCCAAGCUGUACGCUAAGCCAGGCGGCCAUGCUAAUGGUCGGCCUCGUUUGGGCAGUCGGUCCGGCUCGUUAGCGGCGGGCUCGCCCAGGCCCUCGCUCACCCGCCAGCCCAGCGCAAUCACAGAGGCCGCUGUGGACGGAUCCAAGCCCAGGGACUACCUGAUCCUGGCCAUCCUGUCCUGCUUCUGCCCGCUGUGGCCCAUCAACAUCGUAGCUCUCACCUUCUCCGUCAUGUCCCGAAACAGUCUGCAGCAAGGCAACAUAGACGGAGCUCGUCGCUUGGGUCGCAACGCCAUGGUUCUGUCUGUCGUGGCCAUCUUGGGAGGGAUCGCCAUCAUCACUGCAGCUAUCAUCCUCAACUGGGGAUAACCAACAGUUAAACCUUGCAGAUGAAGAUGGGUGAAUUGUGUUGCCUGUACUUUCUGACGGGAGUUUUGUGUGGAGGACACAGCAAAUCAAAGCAGUGAUAUUAAAAUCCUGAUGAAAUCCCCUGGACCGCCACGACGCCGCUCCCCCUCCCGUUCCUGAAGCACUAUCGUUCUCAAGCGCCUGCACCGGAUGAAAACCCAAUAAAAAUCUGUUUCUGUUCUUUGCUGUUGUUUCUUGCUGCACGACGACAAGCAUGGUCUGCCUGACGCUCUACCUCCAACUCGACCAACCCACUCGCCCGCCAACCCACCCGCUCGCCAACCCACCCACUCGCCAACCCACCCACUCUUGACACCGACGCCCCAUCUGGAUAUGCAGGAGGAGACGGGAUGCAUCGUUCCAUCUCCUCCUCAGACUGUUUUCUCUCUCUCUCUCUACACGCUCUCUCAUCUAUGAACAAGUGUGUCUGUUGUCAUGGAAACGGACAUCUGUCUCUAUGGAAGUUGGAUUACUCUGAUCUCUGAAUGAGUCUCCGUGCCACAGGUCCAGUAUCGGAGCAGACUGGGGGGGGUGGAAGGGGGGGGGGGGGGGGGUGAUCACGUUUUGAUGCCAAAAAAAAAGUAGAAACUUUGUCUGAGCUCGAACGAUGCUGCAGUGAUGAUCUUUACUGUGAAGGCGGGAAAGAAAAGGAUGAGAGAGUGGAGGAUUGUUUCAGUGUCCACCUGUUCCUGCUGUGUUUACUGUGCACACAUACAAACACAGAGGUCAGACAUGCCGAUACUGCUGCUGCUGCUGCUGCUGCCGCCGCCGCCGCCGCCGCUGCUGCUGCUGCCGCCGCCGCCGCUGCUGCUGCCGCCUGCCGGUCAUGUGAUAGAGACCGAAGUCCCGACGUCACAUCUGCUCCAUGAGCUUCCGUUGAUUCUCUCACCGUCUGUCUGAGAACAUGAAGCUUGUUCCUGGAGUUUAUUUGCCAUAUUCUGAGACAACAGCACCUUCUAUCAUUGAAACCUAACAGAGUUAAAGAAGCUUCCAUGUAGAUUUACAGGUGUCAACGUGUUUUUCUACCGUGAUCUCUGCCGCCGUUACAAACACGUCUGAACUCACCAGAUUCCUGAACUCACCUGUGGACUCAUCUGUGUUGGCAGACAGUGACGUUUAGCCCACAAAGUUUCUAGGACUUACGGGAAAUAGUGUUAUAAGAGGAGGAAAUAUAAUCUAAUAACAAUAUAAUCUAAACAAUAUUAGAUCAUUUUCAUAAAGCUAGAUAUAUGAAGUGAGCCACACCUCACCAUUCAGCCUGUGGGACACGAUGUUUACUGUAUUAAAAAGCUGCUAAAAUUUAUAAAAAAUAAACAGAUUUUAGCUGAGACCCAAUUCAGGGGCCGCACGCUUCAGGGGCCGCGGUCUACGAAGGCGUGGCAGUUUGUGGCCGAACCGAAAUGACAGUCCGGUCUACGUAUUUUUCUUGUUGCGUCACCAUCUGUUCCCACCUUUAAUGUGGCGUCGCCAGGCGCAGCUGCUGUCACCUAGAAACCUUGACAACACAUAACAGGGCCCUUGCUGUUUGCUUUCGUUUCUGGCACGCAAUGAAUCUUGGGAUACGUUAGGAAAAGGAGGAUGCAUUUGAAGGAGCUUUCGAAAUACAACAGCAUAGUCACGCCACUGUGACACAAUCAGUCUUCAAAUGCAGCCUCCGAAGGACGCGGCCCCUGAAUUGGGACACAGCUAUAAAUGAGUUUAAGAUGCCGACCAUAUGAUCACGUCGCCGCGGCGUCCUCCCUCAUCUCUACCCUCAUUUCUUGGCAUCUCUCUAAUGUCAGUAUCUUUAGUAUCUUAAAAUUCAGCAAAUUAGACAAUAUUCAAAUAUCUCUAAGGAAACCUGGAUGUUUGGAUGUGUGAGCUUGUGUUGAAGGACGAGGGAGGACAGUGUGAAGCAGAGAGCUGGAAUGUGUGCGGUGUGCAGAGUUGCGGUUUGUCUGGACGUCUAAGUGCUUCUGCUUUUUAGCUUGUAACUGAUUCCAGCCGAGUCGCUCUGAUUCAAACGUAUUUAAUUAUUCUCUCUGACCACAGGAGGUGCAGCCCUUUCCCCCUAAUGGACCUGGAGUGAUGGACAGUGUGAUAGUGAGCUCGAGGCCCUCCAUUCAUUUGGGUGGUUAAGGUUACGUUUACACUGCAGGUCUGUACUCUGGGUUCAGGUUCCCACAGUGAUGCAACGUGAGACGGAUCAGUUUUACUUUUAUUGCUUGUGUUUUCUCUCAGGUCUUUUAAUUUCAACUCCCUGCUGAUUUUCAAAUCUCAGUUUCUUUAUCCUAAAGGACAGAAAUUAUUGUUUCAAUCUGGGUUGUUUUGUAAAUAUGAAACAUUUGUCUGAUGCUAAAAAUGAAUUCAGGCACCUGGUCCAUGUCGAGUCUCUUUAGAGCAUCGAACAUUGACUGGAUCUAAGCAGGUUGAGAUUUAAAGGACAAGUUCACAUUUUUUGCAGGUGUGAACAGUUUUCGAUGGCUGUGAUCACUCCGUCUCUUCCUGAUUCAUCGCCAAUGUAUGGAAGCCCGGAAAGGCCACACUCGCAAAUAUAUUUUUCAUCCCGUUAUCUUGAGAUAAAAGAGCUUUGUUUUCUCAAGAUAACGGGAUAUUUAUUCCGUUAUCUUGAGAUCUGCAAAAGUUCUUAAAGCGUAAGUCAGUACGAGUGAAUAUCGUCCCAAGUCUUUUUAGGAGUUUCCUUGCUGAGGCGUGGCAGAGGGACCGUAACAGUGACUUCUGAAACAUUAAAUGUCAAAUUUUAAAAUGUGGUUUUGCACUCUGAGCCUCUCUUCUCAUUGGCUGACUGUUUUCUGAGAGAUCCAAUAAAAAAUAUAGAAGAUUUCAGGUAAAAACACUCAGAGAAACCAAAUCCUGCAAGGUUUGGAUGGUGGGUCCAGGUGGGCGGGGCUUGGUGACUGCUUUGUUGUGACAUCACAAAGUUCCAGAAGUCCUGACGGCUGGUUUUAAGGCUCAGUUUCUGAAUACAGGCUGUGUGCAUUUCUCUGUGGACUGAGGCUUUGAUACUUUCACAGUAUUAAUAUAGAAGCUAGAGCUGAUCUAUAAUCACACUACACAUGGACACAGACCUUUACACUGGAGGAGCUUUAAGAACAAACUUGAAAAACAUGUGAACAUGUCCUUUUAAGCUGUGGUUUAACCCUCAUUCAGAUGCCCACCACUAAUAUAAAGGUGUGUGUGAUGAAGCAGACGACAUCUCAACAGUAAAUAAAGCCUGAAUCCAGGUGGAGCUCUGUAGGAUAGAUGAGGAUCUGUAAUGUCUUUUUAACGAACCUGAAAUCUGGAUUUUUGAUUGGGUGAUAUGAAACAUCAUUAUAAAAGUCAAUGAACACUUUGAUUUCUGCACAGAGCUCAUCUGGUCCUUGUCUCGUCUCUCGUCUUUCGUCUCUCGUCUCUAGAGCCUCAGUGUGACGCUGUGCCAAACACCAGAGUGUGUGCCAACCUGCACAGAAACUGUGUGUGUGUGUGUGUGUGUGUGUGUGUGUGUGUGUGUGUGUGUGUGUGUGUGUGUGUGUGUGUGUGUGCGGGCUGACAGACACUUUGAGGACAGCUUGUUUCAGAGGGAACUCUGAGGAGCUGAGCUGGUGUUAAGGAACUAAAUCAUCUUCUAUACCCCGUGCAUGUUUACACUCUUUAUUACAGAAUGCUUUUCCAUGAGACCGUAGCCUCGUUCAUCAGGAGAGCUAACCGAGUAGCACUUGUAAAUACAUAGUAUGAGAAAUUGUAAUAUGUCCGCCCGGUAAAGGUUCCCCGCCCCUUUGUUUCCUCUUCGCAUUGUAAUGGAGACGUAACUGAACUCGGACCAUUUUUUUUUAGAAAAUGUUGCUGCUGUGAAGAUGAAACUCGAAGGUUCAAAAAGUGACACGUUUGAACUCGACACCAAUCAGACGGCGUCUCUGCGUCGAGGCGAGGUCAGGCUCAGAGGUGGGAGGGAGGGAGGCGACUUGCAGGCGUUCACAUCAUCAAGACGGUUGUAUGAUCAUAAUAUUAAUAAUACAAUAUAACACCACAUCCGUUAAACCUGUCUUCAGUUUGUUUUCAUGCGUUUCCAUAGUGUUUGUUUGAUUUAUGACGACUUGAAUGUUGACACGAAGGCUGUUCACAGGAAACAAUUACAUUCACUCUGAUAUGAUACGAACGCAGCACCUCCGUCCUGCUCCCACCUUAGCUCCUCCCACUCCUGUACUGUAUGUAGCAUGCCUGUUUAUUAGUCACAUUAUGCAUAAAGGAAAAAAGAAAAAAAAAAAGCUGUGUCAGUACGAAUGCUAGCUUUCCUGAUUUCUGCUCUGAUAGACUCCAACACGGGUUCGUGUGGAGUUUGCUUGCGCUACCUCUCAGAGUUGCCUGCAGUGUGUUAUCAACUGCUCCUCACAUCGUUCCACUUCCAUGAUUUUGACUGUUAAAUCUCUUGUGAUAUUGUUUUUAUUUUGCUUUGUUGUGUUUUUAUUGCAGUUUCACUUGCUUACAUUGUAAUUAUGAUAUUAAUGUGCAGGGUUUUAUAAUCACAGUACAGUUGUUCAUCUCUAAUUCGUUCAUCUCUCACAAGUCCUGUAAAAAAAAAACCUUCUCAUAUAUAUAUAUAUAUAUAUAUAUAUAUAUAUAUAUAUAUAUGAACAGAAAAUUCCCCUAUAAUACUCAAGUUGUUUACACUGAGAAUUGAAGAGUUCUGAGGAAGAUUAAUCAGCAGACACUUAUUUUGAAAAGUGUGUAUUUAUCUGUUCCAAUUCAAAAUCGACACGUGUAACAAAAUCAUUUCAAAAUAAGAGUCAACACGCUUUUUUAAUAAUUUUUUUUAUUUAACUACAUUUCAAGUUUGUAGAUUUAAACCUUCACAUCGUCUGCUGGAUAAAACUGUCGAGCCGUGCGGAACAAAACCAACUGAGAAAUAACAAUAACAACCUGAACUGAACGUAUUAACGUCUCAGCUGUUUUAGUCCGGAGUCCAGCAGAUGCCAGACAAAAGACAAAAAACUAAUUGUGCACAUCAGUUAAUGAGCAGCUUGGCUUUAACGCAGUUUUGUUUCGAGAUAUGUGGAUAAUAUUUGGAUUUUUCAUUUCCUUUGACAUUACUUAAACAUGUUGAAAUGUUUGAUUCAAUGUUCUUUCAAUUCAAACUUUAUUUUCUACCGUUGGACUAAAACUGGGAACAAAAUGAGGAGAUACAGAUUCACCCUGAGCUGAUGAUAAAGGUCUGAUUCAGUUUAUGGAAAAUAUAUAAUACAGAUAUAAUAUAUAUAGAAAAGUUUUGAUUAUAAAGUGUAAAUGCUGAAAUCUUCCAGAAGACUUUUCAUUUCCAACACACGUUGUACAGAUGCUGUAUUUUGUGAAGCCCGGUUCAUUUGAUGUUCACUUUAAGUGGCUCCUGAAAGAAGAAAUUUCAACUUCUCUUGGGUUUUUUGUUGUUUAGUUGUUUUUUUUUGUCUGUGUCUGCUCUCGUUUAUCAUUUUUGUUUUCUUUUGUAAACGCUCUUUUGACACCUGAUUACCUGAUCUUUGUAUUUUUAUAUUUCUAUUCUCAUUUCUCUGGAUCUCUUUUGUAUUCACAUGGUAAUCUACUGUUUGUAACGCUCGGUAUUAACCUGCUUCCUGCUUGCUUUUUUUAAAUGGCAAGGCGGUGGGACGCUGUAAGCAUGAGUACACUGCCACCUGACUUUACUAUGUCCUCUUAUUAUUGAUUGCUGUCACCAGACACUGGACUCUUUUUGUGCCUGUGCAUGCCUUAAAUCGACUGAAGCGUACAGAAUGAGUAUGGGUGUACACAAUACAUUUAUCAAAGACACUGUUGAUCUUGAUCUGAUGUUGAGUAUUUGAUCAUGUUUGAAGGGAAUAAAUUCCAGUUAAAUACUA